Molecule: unclassified non-coding RNA, 519 nt
Filed under: uncultured Glomus
Lineage: Eukaryota; Fungi; Glomeromycota; Glomeromycetes; Glomerales; Glomeraceae
Description: SSU rRNA
Rfam family: Eukaryotic small subunit ribosomal RNA
Source: RNAcentral
AGCAGCCGCGGUAAUUCCAGCUCCAAUAGCGUAUACUAAAGUUGUUGCAGUUAAAAAGCUCGUAGUUGAAUUUUGGGUCUGGCCGGGCGGUCCGCCCUCUGGGUGAGCACUGUUCCGACGCCGGGCCUAUCCUUCUGGUGAGUCGGCAUGUCCUUUAUUGGGUGUGUCGGGGAACCAGGACCAUUACCUUGAAAAAUUAGAGUGUUCAAAGCAGGCGUAUGCUCGAAUACAUUAGCAUGGAAUAAUGAAAUAGGACGCGUGGUGCUAUUUUGUUGGUUUCUAGAACCGCCGUAAUGAUUAAUAGGGAUAGUUGGGGGCAUUAGUAUUCAAUUGUCAGAGGUGAAAUUCUUGGAUUUAUUGAAGACUAACUUCUGCGAAAGCAUUUGCCAAGGAUGUUUUCAUUAAUCAAGAACGAAAGUUAGGGGAUCGAAGACGAUCAGAUACCGUCGUAGUCUUAACCAUUAAACUNUGCCGACUAGGAAUCGGGCGAUGUUAUUCUCAUGACUCGCCCGGCGCCUU